This 411-nucleotide ribosomal RNA is filed under the name Macaca brunnescens. RNAcentral's name for it is "partial 12S ribosomal RNA". It matches the Rfam family "Bacterial small subunit ribosomal RNA", at positions 925 to 1522 of the family's 1533-position model. Lineage: Eukaryota; Metazoa; Chordata; Mammalia; Primates; Cercopithecidae. The record is from RNAcentral.
CCCUAGAGGAGCCUGUUCCAUAAUCGAUAAACCCCGAUCCACCUCACCCUCUCUUGCUUAGCCUAUAUACCGCCAUCUUCAGCAAACCCUGAUAAAGGUUACAAAGUGAGCACAAACGCCCUACCGCCGCAAAAACGUUAGGUCAAGGUGUAGCCAAUGAAAGGGUAAAAAUGGGCUACAUUUUCUACAUCAGAAAACUCCACGAAAACUCUUAUGAAACCUGAGAGUCCAAGGAGGAUUUAGCAGUAAAUUAAGAAUAGAGUGCUUAAUUGAACCAGGCCAUAAAGCGCGUACACACCGCCCGUCACUCCCCUCAAAUAUAUUUAAGGAACAUCCUAACUAAACGCCCUAAUAUUUAUAUAGAGGGGACAAGUCGUAACAUGGUAAGUGUACUGGAAGGUGCACUUGGAC